This 2675-nucleotide long non-coding RNA is filed under the name Carica papaya (papaya). Its description in RNAcentral is "long non-coding RNA (CPAP_LNC003753)". Lineage: Eukaryota; Viridiplantae; Streptophyta; Magnoliopsida; Brassicales; Caricaceae. The record is from RNAcentral.
UUUAUUAAGACUAUAAAUAUUAAAUUAUUGAACCUAAAUGCUACUUGAGAUUGAUUUUGUUUAUUAGACAAUUUUAAGAUGCGCUGCUAAGCAUCAACUUAAUAAAUUUAAAAACUUUAUUCUCGAAGUUCAAUACAUUAAUAUCCAUAAAGAUUGAAUGUCAUAACUUCUCUUCUAUGGCAUUUAAUAAAUAUGUAAUAUAAAGGGAAAAAUCUAACAUGUAGCCGGCAAGCUAUAAGCCAAGAUCCAGAAAGGAAACAACAGGUCUUAGCAUUGAACUAGACAUGACGGAAGUUAACUGGACCCCAAAUGGUUGUAUUAUGAAAGUGAAUUGGUAGGGUUUAUAAUAAGUAUCUUAAAUGGCCUGUUUGGCUUUCUUUGUAAGUAGUAGAUAUUUGUAGGUGGUACCAUUUAAUUUUAGGCUCUGCUGGGUUUAUAGCACGGCAAAAGCACUAAACUAUGCCAGAUUGCUAACUAACUCUCUGUCUAUGAUCUAUCCAUGUGGUAACGUAGGGGACCAGUUUUCAUUUUUUCUUCCAAUUAUAAAUUCAGAUCAGUUGGCUGAAUAAAGUUUGAUAUGGAGCUGUUAUAGCUUUAGGCAAUCCGGCAUGUGUAGGGAUGACACUUGACGUGGAUGUGGGUAUAUUUAUUUUGAAUUUAUUUAUUUUUUUUGUAAUUUUAAAUUAUUAAAAAUAGUACUCUUCUAUGUUAUAUGCACGUUCUGUAUCUCUACUAUAUUUAAAUAAUAUCGAGUCAUACUAGUAUCUUUUCAAAUAUAUUUUUUGGUGAAUUAAGAUGCAGAACAGCAUUGCUCUUUGUCCACUCCUAGCUCAUCUUUGCUAAAAACACACAUCUAACUUCUACCAUGGAAUAUUUUAUAAGCAAAAGAAGAUAAAGAAGGAUAGAAAAUAAACGGUAUUAACUAGAGAAAUCAUAGGCCUCUUGAUGACUAAGAGAUUAUCGCUAUUUAUAUCAGAAAAGAAAGCAUUGUUGAGUUUCAGGACUUACGGUUUCCAGCGGAGGCAAACCCAGUUCUUAGUUAAUCCUGCUUUGACUGAAUUACUUGCGAAGUGCUAGACAUUAAUUUCUCAACCUCUAAAAAAUAGACAAUGAAGGGAUGUUAACAAAAGUAAUUUCUUAAUAUUACCCUGGAAAUUAAUUAUCACAAAAACGAGCAAAAUGAGAUUUAUGAAAAAUCACCAAAUUCAAAUUUCUUUCUACUACAUUCCUUAACGCAAACAUGAAUUUGGACUACAGCAAUUGGGAAAUCAAGCCAACGAAAGUAAGAAGAGCACCUCAGUGACAAUGCUUAUUAGAAAAUUUACCUGGAGUAAACCUCAUAUCCAAAUCUGGCUUAUUUUUUUCUCUAAAGAAAUCAGGCUUAUUCAGUUCCAAUGCAGCGCCAGUUCCUUUUUUUCUGUAUGGAGCACUUUGAACUAGCAGAAACCACGACCAUGUUGCUGCCAUACAAACACUUCUAUUAUCAGGAGCAGCAAGAAAGAACAACGGAACAAAAAAAUAAAAAGGCUCCACGGUACAACCUAGCAACUCUUUGUUAUUGCUUAAGAUGGAGCCUAUCAAAAUGAGAGAUCAGGCACAAACAUGGUGAAACGGAAGACAAUAUGCCACGACUAAUAUCAUUUUUUAUUUGAUAAAAAUCAAUGUUUAUUGUCAAUUUUACAUCUAACAACAUGGAAGACUUAGUUAUAUUGAUUAAAUGGUGAGAGGAUAGUCGCAUUGCCAUGUUGUCAAUAGAAAAAAAAAAACUUAUAACAAUAAUAGAACGGGAAAAACCAGGGGUGGUUUUUCAGAAUGAGUAAUUAGUUGAUCAUUAGCAUAUCAAAUAUCAACACUCAACCUAAAUUACAAGACAACAGAUGAUUGCAGAUAUAUCUAUCACAUCCUUGUUUUAAACAGCUAUCUUGUUUGCUACAAUGUAUACAUAUAGAUACAAACACAAAUACAAGAAUGCAAUCCACACACGCGUGCGCAUAUAUGUUGAUCACUCAGCAAUAAUUUCCUAAUGAGAAGUUGAUCAUCCAACCUAGCAUUUCUAAUUUACGCAAGGAUAUCUUGUUUACUGGUUGGCUAUAAGCUAGAAACCAUGGCAGCCGAUUCCUUCGUUAAUUUACAAUUCAUUUCCUCUCCGUCUUCAUCUUCUUCUGACAUAAAAUGUGCAUAUAAUCCCAGCACCAAACUCCACGUUUAUUUUACAAAAAUCAAUUUGGUCACCGAAAAUUCAUUUACGAACCAAAAAUUAAGCGAUCGGAAUAAAGGCAGAAUACCAGUCAUGUGUAACGCAACAACAGCUCGAUUGUUUGCUCGGCUCUCGAGUCCAAUUUCUCUGUAUCUCCUACAUCAACUGCCCGAACAAACUAUGCACCUCUCUGUCUCCAUGGAUCGCCGCCGGCAUUGCUCUCCCGUAUAAACUCUUGUGCCCUCUCUGGACUUUCCGCAAUCAGUUCCUUCAAAUUUAUCCGUCCUCCACCAAUCAAUCAAUCAAAUCCAUGAUAAUAAUCAACCAUUAAACGAGAGCUUUUCACAGGACAUCAAUAUAAACUACCUACCGCGUCUCUCUUAUGGAAGCGAUAACCGUCUCCAAGAAAAUCCCGCCUUACACGAAUGUUUUCCCGCUAAUAAAUUUUGGUAAUGCAUGCGGUAUUUAACACCUGGUU